RNAcentral lists this long non-coding RNA (1058 nucleotides) under Olea europaea subsp. europaea. Lineage: Eukaryota; Viridiplantae; Streptophyta; Magnoliopsida; Lamiales; Oleaceae. The record is from RNAcentral.
AUUGUAAUCCCCCUUUUAUAGCAAAAGUUUCUCAGAAUAUAUACAAACCCUAAAAUCAUAUAAAUUUGCUUUUCUAAAUUCUCCAAAAUCUUCCCCAGAAAACUUGUGAUUUUUUCGCACUUCGUCAUGGAAGAACAACCUGGUAAGCAUCGACUCUCUGUGCCUUAACUACUGUAAUUAUCAUAACUGUUAACCAAAUCUCUCUUAUAUUUUAGGGUUAAUAAAUUUGAGUUCGAGUUAAUCAUUGUGAUUAUGUAAUUAGACCUUUUUAAUUUGUUUGUAGCCAAACCAAUUUUUUUAUUUUUUUUUAUUUUUUUUGUUUCUUUUGGAUAGGGACAGAUCUAGGAUUGGAUUCAAGAUGGAACUAAAAAUUUUCAAGCCAGACUAACACUCGAAUUUUUUUUUAAAACUAUUUUUACCCAAAAAUAAUAAUAAUAAUAAAUAAAAAUCUUGGGCUACGGGGGACUGGAGCCCACUACGUCCGUCCGUGCUUUAGGGUUCAUGAUUUGAGUUCUUGGGCUCUUUUUAAGCAUUAAGUUCUUUAGAUUAUAAUGAAAAGUACGAUAGACAAUGUAUUUUUAGUUAUUUUUCUUUCUAUAUAAUGUUGAAUUGAGUUCUUGAUAAAGUUUUUCUUGUGUCGUAAAUGACAGGGUCACCAGUAAAUAUGGAAAAGAGAAAGUGGGAUCAUACCCCAAUAUAUUAUGUGAAAGAGGUUAUACGGAAAUCCAUAAUUGCUAUGUUCAUCAGUGUGAUAGUAUGGAUUAUAAUGAAGGUCCUAUUAAGGGUUUUUGAGCAUUCUUCAAACCAGCAUGUUGAUUUGAUCGACAUUGUCCUUGCUUUAUUCCUCUCCUUUUGUCUCAUAAUCUUGACAAUUUUUCAGAUAUUCUCUAUUUUUCUUACUACUUGUGAAGCAAUUAAGGGUCGGACUUCAUCGAGUAUCUUGGCUACGAGCAUCAAACAAUAGACUUAGAACUGGUCUAAUUUUGUUUUUAUUUAUUUAUUGUUUUCUUUCACUAGUCGAAAACAGUUCAUAACAUUUUUUGUCUGCUUAAUUGAUG